GACGAACGCUGGCGGCGUGCUUAACACAUGCAAGUCGAACGAUGAACCCGGAGCUUGCUCCGGUGGAUUAGUGGCGAACGGGUGAGUAACACGUGAGUAACCUGCCCUUGACUCUGGGAUAACUGCGGGAAACUGUAGCUAAUACCGGAUACGACCCUCGGCGGCAUCGCCAGGGGGUGGAAAGAAUUUCGGUCAAGGAUGGACUCGCGGCCUAUCAGCUAGUUGGUGAGGUAACGGCUCACCAAGGCGACGACGGGUAGCCGGCCUGAGAGGGUGACCGGCCACACUGGGACCGAGACACGGCCCAGACUCCUACGGGAGGCAGCAGUGGGGAAUAUUGCGCAAUGGGCGAAAGCCUGACGCAGCAACGCCGCGUGCGGGAUGACGGCCUUCGGGUUGUAAACCGCUUUCAGCAGGGAAGAAGCCGCAAGGUGACGGUACCUGCAGAAGAAGCACCGGCUAACUACGUGCCAGCCGCCGCGGUAA
This 486-nucleotide ribosomal RNA is filed under the name uncultured bacterium. RNAcentral's name for it is "partial 16S ribosomal RNA". It matches the Rfam family "Bacterial small subunit ribosomal RNA", at positions 28 to 523 of the family's 1533-position model. The record is from RNAcentral.